UGAGUACGAGCUGCUACGGCAGCGAAGUGGGUGAUGUCAAGCUUCCAAGAAAAGCCCUAUACCCGUUAAGGCAUGAUGGCCUGUACCCGAAACCGACACAGGUGGGGUGGUAGAGAAUACCGAGGGGCGCGAGAUAACUCUCUCUAAGGAACUCGGCAAAAUGGCCCCGUAACUUCGGGAGAAGGGGUGCCACCGCAAGGUGGUCGCAGUGAAGAGGCCCAGGCGACUGUUUACCAAAAACACAGGUCUCCGCUAAGUCGCAAGACGAUGUAUGGGGGCUGACGCCUGCCCAGUGCCGGAAGGUUAAGGAAGCUGGUCAGCGUAAGCGAAGCUAGCGACUGAAGCCCCGGUGAACGGCGGCCGUAACAAUAACGGUCCUAAGGUAGCGAAAUUCCUUGUCGGGUAAGUUCCGACCCGCACGAAAGGCGUAACGAUCUGGGCGCUGUCUCGGAGAGAGGCUCGGCGAAAUAGAAUUGUCUGUGAAGAUGCGGACUACGUGCACCCGGACAGAAAGACCCUAUGAAGCUUUACUGUAGCUUGGUAUUGUGCUCGGGCUCGGAAUGCGCAGGAUAGGUGGGAGGCUAUGAACCAUUGCUUGUGGGUGAUGGUGAGCCACUGGUGAGAUACCACUCUUUCCGAGCUAGAGUUCUAACAGCCACCCGUUAUCCGGGGGCUGGACAGUAUCAGGUGGGCAGUUUGACUGGGGCGGUCGCCUCCUAAAAGGUAACGGAGGCGCGCAAAGGUUUGCUCAGGCUGGUUGGAAAUCAGCCGACGAGUGUAAAAGCAGAAGCAAGCUUGACUGUGAGACCUACAAGUCGAACAGGGAGGAAACUCGGCUUUAGUGAUCCGACGGUUCUGCGUGGAAGGGCCGUCGCUCAACGGAUAAAAGUUACUCUAGGAUAACAGGCUGAUCUCCCCCAAGAGUUCACAUCGACGGGGAGGUUUGGCACCUCGAUGUCGGCUCAUCGCAACCUGGGGCUGAAGUCGGUCCCAAGGGUUGGGCUGUUCGCCCAUUAAAGCGGUACGCGAGCUGGGUUCAGAACGUCGUGAGACAGUUCGGUCCAUAUCCGGUGCAUGCGCAGGAAUAUUGAGAGGAUUUCUCCCUAGUACGAGAGGACCGGGAGGAACGCACCUCUGGUGUACCAGUUAUCGUGCCAACGGUAAACGCUGGGUAGCCAUGUGCGGAGAGGAUAACCGCUGAAAGCAUCUAAGUGGGAAGCCCACCUCAAGAUGAGUAUUCCCAUGGGGUAACCCAGUAAGGUCACGGGAAGAACACCCGUUGAUAGGCUCUACGUGGAAGCGCAGUAAUGUGUGAAGCGGAGGAGUACUAAUAGACCGAGGGCUUGACCAA
Molecule: ribosomal RNA, 1351 nt
Filed under: metagenome
Description: bacterial LSU rRNA
Rfam family: Bacterial large subunit ribosomal RNA
Source: RNAcentral